Molecule: ribosomal RNA, 492 nt
Filed under: uncultured bacterium
Lineage: Bacteria
Description: partial 16S ribosomal RNA
Rfam family: Bacterial small subunit ribosomal RNA
Source: RNAcentral
GAUGAACGCUAGCUACAGGCUUAACACAUGCAAGUCGAGGGGAAACGGCAUCGAAAGCUUGCUUUUGAUGGGCGUCGACCGGCGCACGGGUGAGUAACGCGUAUCCAACCUGCCCAUCACUUGGGAAUAACCUUGCGAAAGUAAGACUAAUGCCCAAUGACAUCCCACGAAGGCAUCCGAAUGGGAUUAAAGAUUUAUCGGUGAUGGAUGGGGAUGCGUCUGAUUAGCUUGUUGGCGGGGUGACGGCCCACCAAGGCAACGAUCAGUAGGGGUUCUGAGAGGAAGGUCCCCCACAUUGGAACUGAGACACGGUCCAAACUCCUACGGGAGGCAGCAGUGAGGAAUAUUGGUCAAUGGGCGAGAGCCUGAACCAGCCAAGUAGCGUGCAGGAUGACGGCCCUAUGGGUUGUAAACUGCUUUUAUAAGGGAAUGAAGUGGGUCACGUGUGACUUUUUGCAUGUACCUUAUGAAUAAGGACCGGCUAAUUCCGUG